GCACCUUUGUCUCCCAUGGAGAUGCAGACCACUCUAGUUCACAUCAAUGCACUUUUGUAAAAAUACAAAUCAAACCAUUUUUAUUUUAAAGCCAACAUCUCUCCAGAAAGACCGAAUUACUCUGACACCAGCCACGAAUUAAGACUGCUGUCUGAAAGACUCAUAGGUUUAUUCACAGAACACUCAAAUAACAAAACUGAGACUAACAUUUCUGAAUUGGAAAAUAUCUCCAACUCAACUUUACUCACCGCUAGACGAUUUAUUCAUUAUUAGGCCAUUUGAAUAAAAUUAGUUAAAGUUCAGUGUUGACUAAUCAUGUUAAUCUUUUAGGAUAGUUUUUUUGAAAAAGUGACAAUUUAAAUAUAUGGUGUCUAUUUGGGUCAGAGGUUGCGAAUUGGGGGGUUAAAAAGGAAAAGCCCAACAAGGCAGGAGGAGCAGCGCCCACUAGACAUGUGCAAUUUGUUUCGUUCCGAAUGUAUAUUUGGACAUUCCGAUGCCUACGAAUGUCUGAAGUGUGAAUUGCUGUAUUUCCAAAGUGGGUUAUGGUUUAAGGUUAGUGGUUAGGGUUUGGAGUUAGGGUUAGG
Non-coding RNA from Pelobates cultripes (western spadefoot toad), 584 nucleotides. The record is from the annotation of a GenBank genome assembly. NCBI's taxonomy places the organism in Eukaryota, Metazoa, Chordata, Amphibia, Anura, Pelobatidae.